AGAGUAAUUGUGGUUUCUGUCA
RNAcentral lists this microRNA (22 nucleotides) under Macaca mulatta (Rhesus monkey). RNAcentral describes it as "mml-miR-548g-5p". Its record names the gene mml-miR-548g-5p. The record is from miRBase by way of RNAcentral. Lineage: Eukaryota; Metazoa; Chordata; Mammalia; Primates; Cercopithecidae.